AAAUGGCCUACCCCUUAUUCUUAAACUGUGACACCCCCGGCCCCUGGUUCUGGACUCCCCCAACAUGGGGGAAAUUUUUCCUGCAUCUAGCCUGUCUAAACCCUUAAGGAUUUUAUAUGUAGCAGCUUCCAACGUGGCCUUAAAGAGGAAACAAUAAAUAUAUGAUGAGAAAAUAUUGGAAAGCCACUGGGAAUGGAAAUAAUGGAUUGCUCUGACAAAGAGCUAGCACGGGCAUGAUGGGACAAAUGGCCUGUGCAGCCAUCAUUCUGUUAUUUUGAAUGUUGUUCCAUUGAGACUGCAUGUCUCACCAGUUGAAGGUUUGUUACAGUUUGUUCUGUUGAUAUUGUAAAUAAUGUCAUGUUACAAUUUAAGAUAUGGCUACAAUAGAGAAUUUUAUUGGCAAUAUGAGGCUUCAUAUAUUUGUUUAUCCAAAUUUCAACAUUGCAUCAUAUUUGUAAAUAGGUGUUGGGAUCUUGUCUUAAAGGUUAUUUAUUGAUCAUAUUUUAUCUGGAAUUUUGUCAACUGUGAAAACACUAUUAUAUCCCUUAUUUUCAUA
Molecule: long non-coding RNA, 556 nt
Organism: Amblyraja radiata (thorny skate)
Lineage: Eukaryota; Metazoa; Chordata; Chondrichthyes; Rajiformes; Rajidae
Exons: 2
Source: RefSeq, a predicted model, not a curated record